GACAGAGGGUGCAAGCGUUGUUCGGAAUUACUGGGCGUAAAGCGCGUGUAGGCGGCUAUGCAAGUCGGAUGUGAAAGCCCUCGGCUCAACCGGGGAAGUGCACCCGAAACUGCAAAGCUAGAGUCUCGGAGAGGAUCGUGGAAUUCUCGGUGUAGAGGUGAAAUUCGUAGAUAUCGAGAGGAACACCGGUGGCGAAGGCGGCGAUCUGGACGAUGGCUGACGCUGAGACGCGAAAGCGUGGGGAGCAAGCAGG
RNAcentral lists this ribosomal RNA (253 nucleotides) under uncultured bacterium. Its description in RNAcentral is "partial 16S ribosomal RNA". It matches the Rfam family "Bacterial small subunit ribosomal RNA", at positions 524 to 776 of the family's 1533-position model. The record is from RNAcentral.